AAAAUGCAAGGUAUCUAACUCCAUAGUGACCCCUUUUGGAGGUCACUAUGGAGUUAGAUACCUUGAAUUUU
This 71-nucleotide small RNA is filed under the name Paramuricea clavata. The record is from RNAcentral. Lineage: Eukaryota; Metazoa; Cnidaria; Anthozoa; Malacalcyonacea; Plexauridae.